AGGGGUGUGGCGCAAUGGUAGCGCAUCGGUUUCCAAAACCGACGGUUGUAGGUUCAAGUCCUACCGCCCCUGCCA
Molecule: transfer RNA, 75 nt
Filed under: Candidatus Daviesbacteria bacterium
Lineage: Bacteria; Candidatus Daviesiibacteriota
Description: tRNA-Trp
Rfam family: tRNA
About the family: Transfer RNA (tRNA) molecules are approximately 80 nucleotides in length.
Source: RNAcentral